CCCUUAGAUGUUCUGGGCCGCACGCGCGCUACACUGACGCAUUCAACGAGUCUAAAACCUGCUCUGAUAGGGGUGGGUAAUCUUUUGAAUGUGCAUCGUGAUUGGGAUAGAUGAUUGAAAUUUUUCAUCUUCAACGAGGAAUGCCUAGUAAACGCAAGUCAUCAGCUUGCAUUGAUUACGUCCCUGCCCUUUGUACACACCGCCCGUCGCUCCUACCGAUUGAAUGAUCCGAUGAAUAUCAUGGAUUGAGGAUGCAAGUAGGUUCACCUAUCUUCAUCUUCGAGAAGUGAAGUAAAUCUUAUCAUUUAGAGGAAGGAGAAGUCGUAACA
This 329-nucleotide ribosomal RNA is filed under the name uncultured eukaryote. Its description in RNAcentral is "partial 18S ribosomal RNA". It matches the Rfam family "Eukaryotic small subunit ribosomal RNA", at positions 1470 to 1796 of the family's 1831-position model. The record is from RNAcentral.